AGUUUGAUCCUGGCUCAGGAUGAACGCUGGCGGUAUGCUUAACACAUGCAAGUCGAACGAUGUGGGGACGUAGCAAUGCUACGUCUGUGCAUAGUGGCGGACGGGUGAGUAACGCGUGAGAAUCUAGCUUCAGGUUCGGGACAACAUUGGGAAACCGAUGCUAAUACCGGAUGUGCCGAGAGGUGAAAGGCUAGCCGCCUGAAGAAGAGCUCGCGUCUGAUUAGCUAGUUGGUGGUGUAAGGGACUACCAAGGCGACGAUCAGUAGCUGGUCUGAGAGGAUGAUCAGCCACACUGGAACUGAGACACGGUCCAGACUCCUACGGGAGGCAGCAGUGGGGAAUUUUCCGCAAUGGGCGAAAGCUGACGGAGCAAUACCGCGUGAGGGAGGAAGGCUCUUGGGUUGUAAACCUCUUUUCUCAAGGAAGAAGUUCUGACGGUACUUGAGGAAUCAGCAUCGGCUAACUCGUGCCAGCAGCCGCGGUAAUACGGGGGAUGCAAGCGUUAUCCGGAAUGAUUGGGCGUAAGCGUCGCAGGUGGUU
RNAcentral lists this ribosomal RNA (540 nucleotides) under uncultured bacterium. Its description in RNAcentral is "bacterial SSU rRNA". It matches the Rfam family "Bacterial small subunit ribosomal RNA", at positions 10 to 580 of the family's 1533-position model. The record is from RNAcentral.